Small nucleolar RNA from Plectropomus leopardus (leopard coralgrouper), 67 nucleotides. RefSeq annotates it as small nucleolar RNA SNORD37. The record is from RefSeq and is a predicted model, not a curated record. NCBI's taxonomy places the organism in Eukaryota, Metazoa, Chordata, Actinopteri, Perciformes, Serranidae.
GCAAGUGAUGAUUGAAUAUUCUUCACUUUGACCUGAGUAACCAGUGAUGAUUACCUUCACUCUGAGC